GAUGAACGCUGGCGGCGUGCUUAACACAUGCAAGUCGAACGAAGCAUUUAGAACAGAUUAUUUCGGUAUGAAGUUCUUUAUGACUGAGUGGCGGACGGGUGAGUAACGCGUGGGUAACCUGCCUUGUACUGGGGGAUAGCAGCUGGAAACGGCUGGUAAUACCGCAUAAGCGCACGGUGCUGCAUGGCACAGUGUGAAAAACUACGGUGGUAUAAGAUGGACCCGCGUCUGAUUAGCUAGUCGGUGAGAUACCAGCCCACCAAGGCGAGGAUCAGUAGCCGACGUGGGAGGGUGACCGGCCACAUUGGGACUGAGACACGGCCCAGACUCCUACGGGAGGCAGCAGUGGGGAAUAUUGCACAAUGGAGGAAACUCUGAUGCAGCGACGCCGCGUGAGUGAAGAAGUAAUUCGUUAUGUAAAGCUCUAUCAGCAGGGAAGAUAGUGACGGUGCCUGACUAAGAAGCUCCGGCUAAAUACGUGCCAGCCGCCGCGGUAA
Molecule: ribosomal RNA, 497 nt
Filed under: uncultured bacterium
Lineage: Bacteria
Description: partial 16S ribosomal RNA
Rfam family: Bacterial small subunit ribosomal RNA
Source: RNAcentral